RNAcentral lists this ribosomal RNA (1343 nucleotides) under uncultured bacterium. RNAcentral's name for it is "16S ribosomal RNA". It matches the Rfam family "Bacterial small subunit ribosomal RNA", at positions 28 to 1378 of the family's 1533-position model. The record is from RNAcentral.
GACGAACGCUGGCGGCGUGCUUAACACAUGCAAGUCGAACGGAAAGGCCCUGCUUUUGUGGGGUGCUCGAGUGGCGAACGGGUGAGUAACACGUGAGUAACCUGCCCUUGACUUUGGGAUAACUUCAGGAAACUGGGGCUAAUACCGGAUAGGAGCUCCUGCUGCAUGGUGGGGGUUGGAAAGUUUCGGCGGUUGGGGAUGGACUCGCGGCUUAUCAGCUUGUUGGUGGGGUAGUGGCUUACCAAGGCUUUGACGGGUAGCCGGCCUGAGAGGGUGACCGGCCACAUUGGGACUGAGAUACGGCCCAGACUCCUACGGGAGGCAGCAGUGGGGAAUAUUGCACAAUGGGCGGAAGCCUGAUGCAGCAGCGCCGCGUGCGGGAUGACGGCCUUCGGGUUGUAAACCGCUUUCGCCUGUGACGAAGCGUGAGUGACGGUAAUGGGUAAAGAAGCACCGGCUAACUACGUGCCGGCAGCCGCGGUGAUACGUAGGGUGCGAGCGUUGUCCGGAUUUAUUGGGCGUAAAGGGCUCGUAGGUGGUUGAUCGCGUCGGAAGUGUAAUCUUGGGGCUUAACCCUGAGCGUGCUUUCGAUACGGGUUGACUUGAGGAAGGUAGGGGAGAAUGGAAUUCCUGGUGGAGCGGUGGAAUGCGCAGAUAUCAGGAGGAACACCAGUGGCGAAGGCGGUUCUCUGGGCCUUUCCUGACGCUGAGGAGCGAAAGCGUGGGGAGCGAACAGGCUUAGAUACCCUGGUAGUCCACGCUGUAAACGGUGGGUACUAGGUGUGGGGUCCAUUCCACGGGUUCCGUGCCGUAGCUAACGCUUUAAGUACCCCGCCUGGGGAGUACGGCCGCAAGGCUAAAACUCAAAGGAAUUGACGGGGCCCCGCACAAGCGGCGGAGCAUGCGGAUUAACUCGAUGCAACGCGUAGAACCUUACCUGGGUUUGACAUGGAUCGGGAGUGCUCAGAGAUGGGUGUGCCUCUUUUGGGGUCGGUUCACAGGUGGUGCAUGCCUGUCGUCAGCUCGUGUCGUGAGAUGUUGGGUUAAGUCCCGCAACGAGCGCAACCCUUGUUCACUGUUGCCAGCACGUUAUGGUGGGGACUCAGUGGAGACCGCCGGGGUCAACUCGGAGGAAGGUGGGGAUGACGUCAAGUCAUCAUGCCCCUUAUGUCCGGGGCUUCACGCAUGCUACAAUGGCUGGUACAGAGAGUGGCGAGCCUGUGAGGGUGAGCGAAUCUCGGAAAGCCGGUCUCAGUUCGGAUUGGGGUCUGCAACUCGACCUCAUGAAGUCGGAGUCGCUAGUAAUCGCAAAUCAGCAACGCUGCGGUGAAUACGUUCCCGGG